RNAcentral lists this ribosomal RNA (494 nucleotides) under Daboia russelii (Russell's viper). Its description in RNAcentral is "partial 16S ribosomal RNA". It matches the Rfam family "Bacterial large subunit ribosomal RNA", at positions 1849 to 2609 of the family's 2925-position model. Lineage: Eukaryota; Metazoa; Chordata; Lepidosauria; Squamata; Viperidae. The record is from RNAcentral.
AAGGCAACGCCUGCCCAGUGAAUAAUUAAACGGCCGCGGUAUCCUAACCGUGCAAAGGUAGCAUAAUCAUUUGUCUAUUAAUUGUAGACUCGUAUGAAUGGCAAAAUGAGAGCCCGACUGUCUCUUAUAACAAAUCAAUUAAACUGAUCUCUCAGUACAAAAGCUGAGAUUCUCACAUAAGACCAGAAGACCCUGUGAAGCUUUAACUAAACUAUUAAACCUCUUAAUAACUAUGUUUUGGUUGGGGCGACCUUGGAACAAAAAAGAACUUCCAAAUACAUGACCUUCUCACACCAAGGCAAACAAGCCACAUUUAGACCCAGAACUUUCUGAUAAAUGAACCAAGUUACUCCAGGGAUAACAGCGCUAUCUUCUUCAAGAGCCCAUAUCAAAAAGAAGGUUUACGACCUCGAUGUUGGAUCAGGACAUCCUAGCAAUGCAACCGUUACUAAGGGUUCGUUUGUUCAACGAUUAAUAGUCCUACGUGAUCUGAG